CAGUAGCGUAUAUUAAAGUUGUUGCAGUUAAAAUGCUCGUAGUUGAAGUUCGGAUGCAGCAGAGCUUGGAAACGCUGUUAUGGUGCUUCCGUUGCUUUUGCUUGUCCACAGUGCGUUGCAAGUACGUAUGUGCUUGUGCGUGCAUUUUACUUUGAGAAACAUAGGGUGUUCCACGCAUGUUACGGCAUGAAUAUUCCAGCAUGGGAUAAUCUGGUACGACUUCCAAUCUGCCAUUUUGGUUCGUAGGUUGGAAGUAAUGAUUAAGAGGGACAGUCGGGGGCAUUCGUAUUCCGUUGUCAGAGGUGAAAUUCUUGGAUUUACGGAAGACGAACAUCUGCGAAAGCAUUUGCCAAGGAUGUUUUCAUUGA
RNAcentral lists this ribosomal RNA (368 nucleotides) under uncultured eukaryote. Its description in RNAcentral is "partial 18S ribosomal RNA". It matches the Rfam family "Eukaryotic small subunit ribosomal RNA", at positions 592 to 976 of the family's 1831-position model. The record is from RNAcentral.